This is a long non-coding RNA of Stegostoma tigrinum, 653 nucleotides long. RefSeq lists it as uncharacterized. The transcript is spliced from 5 exons. The record is from RefSeq and is a predicted model, not a curated record. Lineage: Eukaryota; Metazoa; Chordata; Chondrichthyes; Orectolobiformes; Stegostomatidae.
CUCAGGGAUUGUGAGCGUGAGGGUAAACAGAACGCCUUUUACGUUCAUUUUCUAAAAUGCUGUCACAUCUGCUGAGCUUUGCUAUUCAGAAAUGAAAACAGAAGUUGAUGGAAAAGAAAGAUCUUUUCCCUCGGGUGGGCAAGUUCAAAACUGAGGGCAUAUUUUUAAGUGACAUCAGAAUGUGAAUGGCUCAACUGGAGACAGGAAAUAACUCUUGAUUGGCUAGGAGAUUGACCUGAUGCUACAAGACCCUCAAGAAGCUAAGCUGUCACCAUAAGUGAUGACGCAUUCUGCAGUACUUUCAACAGAACAGGAACAUAACUGGUGAUGAUGUUGGAGAAAUAAUGCAAUAAUGAGGGCCAAGUUGGAAAGGCUUCCCAAUGGAGUGCCAUGGCCAGUGGCAUGUUGCAGGAUGGCUUGGCUGUCUACUCCAAGCAGAUUCGGAGUGACAUCAGGAAAGAGAAAGCUUCUAUCACACAGACAAUUAAGAUCUUUGAAGGCUGCAUUCUUCUCAUUAGUGACAAAUGACAUUUCUACAUUUCUACAAAAUCCAACCCAACAGCCUUUAAAAAGCUGCGAAGGUUUACUAGAAAUGACACCUUUGGACUUCCAAGGUAAGUUGAGAUUUUACAAACUAGGUUUGCAUUGGAAUU